This 90-nucleotide transfer RNA is filed under the name Thermochaetoides thermophila DSM 1495. RNAcentral's name for it is "Chaetomium thermophilum var. thermophilum DSM 1495 tRNA". It matches the Rfam family "tRNA". From Rfam's summary of the family: Transfer RNA (tRNA) molecules are approximately 80 nucleotides in length. Lineage: Eukaryota; Fungi; Ascomycota; Sordariomycetes; Sordariales; Chaetomiaceae. The record is from Rfam by way of RNAcentral.
GGGUGCAUGGUCUAGUGGUAUGAUUUUCGCUUCGCAUCCCCUCGAGAAUGCGAUUGUGAAAGGUCCCCGGUUCGAUCCCGGGUGCAUCCA